RNAcentral lists this ribosomal RNA (497 nucleotides) under uncultured bacterium. RNAcentral's name for it is "partial 16S ribosomal RNA". It matches the Rfam family "Bacterial small subunit ribosomal RNA", at positions 28 to 507 of the family's 1533-position model. The record is from RNAcentral.
GAUGAACGCUGGCGGCGUGCCUAAUACAUGCAAGUCGAGCGAACAGACGAGGAGCUUGCUCCUCUGACGUUAGCGGCGGACGGGUGAGUAACACGUGGAUAACCUACCUAUAAGACUGGGAUAACUUCGGGAAACCGGAGCUAAUACCGGAUAAUAUAUUGAACCGCAUGGUUCAAUAGUGAAAGACGGUUUUGCUGUCACUUAUAGAUGGAUCCGCGCCGCAUUAGCUAGUUGUUAAGGUAACGGCUUACCAAGGCAACGAUGCGUAGCCGACCUGAGAGGGUGAUCGGCCACACUGGAACUGAGACACGGUCCAGACUCCUACGGGAGGCAGCAGUAGGGAAUCUUCCGCAAUGGGCGAAAGCCUGACGGAGCAACGCCGAGUGAGUGAUGAAGGUCUUCGGAUCGUAAAACUCUGUUAUUAGGGAAGAACAAAUGUGUAAGUAACUAUGCACGUCUUGACGGUACCUAAUCAGAAAGCCACGGCUAACUACGUG